CAACUUUCAGCAACGGAUCUCUUGGCUCUCGCAUCGAUGAAGAACGCAGCGAAAUGCGAUAAGUAAUGUGAAUUGCAGAAUUCAGUGAAUCAUCGAAUCUUUGAACGCACCUUGCGCUCCUUGGUAUUCUGAGGAGCAUGCCUGUUUGAGUGUCAU
RNAcentral lists this ribosomal RNA (156 nucleotides) under Cortinarius sp. MLB-2010h. RNAcentral's name for it is "5.8S ribosomal RNA". It matches the Rfam family "5.8S ribosomal RNA". From Rfam's summary of the family: 5.8S ribosomal RNA (5.8S rRNA) is a component of the large subunit of the eukaryotic ribosome. It is transcribed by RNA polymerase I as part of the 45S precursor that also contains 18S and 28S rRNA. Functionally, it is thought that 5.8S rRNA may be involved in ribosome translocation. The record is from RNAcentral. Lineage: Eukaryota; Fungi; Basidiomycota; Agaricomycetes; Agaricales; Cortinariaceae.